RNAcentral lists this transfer RNA (53 nucleotides) under Diurodrilus subterraneus. Its description in RNAcentral is "tRNA-Gly". Lineage: Eukaryota; Metazoa; Annelida; Polychaeta; Eunicida; Diurodrilidae. The record is from RNAcentral.
AUUUAGUUAGUAUAUUAGUACAUAAAUUUUCCAAAUUUAAAGUAAUCUAAAUA